Molecule: ribosomal RNA, 484 nt
Filed under: uncultured bacterium
Lineage: Bacteria
Description: partial 16S ribosomal RNA
Rfam family: Bacterial small subunit ribosomal RNA
Source: RNAcentral
AUUGAACGCUGGCGGCAUGCUUUACACAUGCCAGUCGAACGGCAGCGCGGGCUUCGGCCUGGCGGCGAGUGGCGAACGGGUGAGUAAUACAUCGGAACGUGCCCAGUAGUGGGGGAUAGCUCGGCGAAAGCCGGAUUAAUACCGCAUACGACCUGAGGGUGAAAGCGGGGGAUCUUCGGACCUCGCGCUAUUGGAGCGGCCGAUGGCAGAUUAGCUAGUUGGUGGGGUAAAGGCCUACCAAGGCGACGAUCUGUAGCUGGUCUGAGAGGACGACCAACCACACUGGGACUGAGACACGGCCCAGACUCCUACGGGAGGCAGCAGUGGGGAAUUUUGGACAAUGGGCGAAAGCCUGAUCCAGCAAUGCCGCGUGUGUGAUGAAGGCCUUCGGGUUGUAAAGCACUUUUGGCGGGAACGAAAAGGACUGUGCCAAUACCACGGUUCGAUGACGGUACCCGCAGAAUAAGCACCGGCUAACUACGUG